Molecule: ribosomal RNA, 461 nt
Filed under: Enterobacter cloacae
Lineage: Bacteria; Pseudomonadati; Pseudomonadota; Gammaproteobacteria; Enterobacterales; Enterobacteriaceae
Description: bacterial SSU rRNA
Rfam family: Bacterial small subunit ribosomal RNA
Source: RNAcentral
GCGAAGAACCUUACCUGGUCUUGACAUCCACAGAACUUUCCAGAGAUGGAUUGGUGCCUUCGGGAACUGUGAGACAGGUGCUGCAUGGCUGUCGUCAGCUUGUGUUGUGAAAUGUUGGGUUAAGUCCCGCAACGAGCGCAACCCUUAUCCUUUGUUGCCAGCGGUCCGGCCGGGAACUCAAAGGAGACUGCCAGUGAUAAACUGGAGGAAGGUGGGGAUGACGUCAAGUCAUCAUGGCCCUUACGACCAGGGCUACACACGUGCUACAAUGGCGCAUACAAAGAGAAGCGACCUCGCGAGAGCAAGCGGACCUCAUAAAGUGCGUCGUAGUCCGGAUUGGAGUCUGCAACUCGACUCCAUGAAGUCGGAAUCGCUAGUAAUCGUAGAUCAGAAUGCUACGGUGAAUACGUUCCCGGGCCUUGUACACACCGCCCGUCUCACCAUGGGAGUGGGUUGCAAAA